UGUGAGCUCGAUGAGUAGGGCGGGACACGUGGUAUCCUGUCUGAAUAUGGGGGGACCAUCCUCCAAGGCUAAAUACUCCUGACUGACCGAUAGUGAACCAGUACCGUGAGGGAAAGGCGAAAAGAACCCCGGCGAGGGGAGUGAAAAAGAACCUGAAACCGUGUACGUACAAGCAGUGGGAGCACGCUUAGGCGUGUGACUGCGUACCUUUUGUAUAAUGGGUCAGCGACUUAUAUUCUGUAGCAAGGUUAACCGAAUAGGGGAGCCGAAGGGAAACCGAGUCUUAACUGGGCGUUAAGUUGCAGGGUAUAGACCCGAAACCCGGUGAUCUAGCCAUGGGCAGGUUGAAGGUUGGGUAACACUAACUGGAGGACCGAACCGACUAAUGUUGAAAAAUUAGCGGAUGACUUGUGGCUGGGGGUGAAAGGCCAAUCAAACCGGGAGAUAGCUGGUUCUCCCCGAAAGCUAUUUAGGUAGCGCCUCGUGAAUUCAUCUCCGGGGGUAGAGCACUGUUUCGGCAAGGGGGUCAUCCCGACUUACCAACCCGAUGCAAACUGCGAAUACCGGAGAAUGUUAUCACGGGAGACACACGGCGGGUGCUAACGUCCGUCGUGAAGAGGGAAACAACCCAGACCGCCAGCUAAGGUCCCAAAGUCAUGGUUAAGUGGGAAACGAUGUGGGAAGGCCCAGACAGCCAGGAUGUUGGCUUAGAAGCAGCCAUCAUUUAAAGAAAGCGUAAUAGCUCACUGGUCGAGUCGGCCUGCGCGGAAGAUGUAACGGGGCUAAACCAUGCACCGAAGCUGCGGCAGCGACGCUUAUGCGUUGUUGGGUAGGGGAGCGUUCUGUAAGCCUGUGAAGGUGUGCUGUGAGGCAUGCUGGAGGUAUCAGAAGUGCGAAUGCUGACAUAAGUAACGAUAAAGCGGGUGAAAAGCCCGCUCGCCGGAAGACCAAGGGUUCCUGUCCAACGUUAAUCGGGGCAGGGUGAGUCGACCCCUAAGGCGAGGCCGAAAGGCGUAGUCGAUGGGAAACAGGUUAAUAUUCCUGUACUUGGUGUUACUGCGAAGGGGGGACGGAGAAGGCUAUGUUGGCCGGGCGACGGUUGUCCCGGUUUAAGCGUGUAGGCUGGUUUUCCAGGCAAAUCCGGAAAAUCAAGGCUGAGGCGUGAUGACGAGGCACUACGGUGCUGAAGCAACAAAUGCCCUGCUUCCAGGAAAAGCCUCUAAGCAUCAGGUAACAUCAAAUCGUACCCCAAACCGACACAGGUGGUCAGGUAGAGAAUACCAAGGCGCUUGAGAGAACUCGGGUGAAGGAACUAGGCAAAAUGGUGCCGUAACUUCGGGAGAAGGCACGCUGAUAUGUAGGUGAAGUCCCUCGCGGAUGGAGCUGAAAUCAGUCGAAGAUACCAGCUGGCUGCAACUGUUUAUUAAAAACACAGCACUGUGCAAACACGAAAGUGGACGUAUACGGUGUGACGCCUGCCCGGUGCCGGAAGGUUAAUUGAUGGGGUUAGCGCAAGCGAAGCUCUUGAUCGAAGCCCCGGUAAACGGCGGCCGUAACUAUAACGGUCCUAAGGUAGCGAAAUUCCUUGUCGGGUAAGUUCCGACCUGCACGAAUGGCGUAAUGAUGGCCAGGCUGUCUCCACCCGAGACUCAGUGAAAUUGAACUCGCUGUGAAGAUGCAGUGUACCCGCGGCAAGACGGAAAGACCCCGUGAACCUUUACUAUAGCUUGACACUGAACAUUGAGCCUUGAUGUGUAGGAUAGGUGGGAGGCUUUGAAGUGUGGACGCCAGUCUGCAUGGAGCCGACCUUGAAAUACCACCCUUUAAUGUUUGAUGUUCUAACGUUGACCCGUAAUCCGGGUUGCGGACAGUGUCUGGUGGGUAGUUUGACUGGGGCGGUCUCCUCCUAAAGAGUAACGGAGGAGCACGAAGGUUGGCUAAUCCUGGUCGGACAUCAGGAGGUUAGUGCAAUGGCAUAAGCCAGCUUGACUGCGAGCGUGACGGCGCGAGCAGGUGCGAAAGCAGGUCAUAGUGAUCCGGUGGUUCUGAAUGGAAGGGCCAUCGCUCAACGGAUAAAAGGUACUCCGGGGAUAACAGGCUGAUACCGCCCAAGAGUUCAUAUCGACGGCGGUGUUUGGCACCUCGAUGUCGGCUCAUCACAUCCUGGGGCUGAAGUAGGUCCCAAGGGUAUGGCUGUUCGCCAUUUAAAGUGGUACGCGAGCUGGGUUUAGAACGUCGUGAGACAGUUCGGUCCCUAUCUGCCGUGGGCGCUGGAGAACUGAGGGGGGCUGCUCCUAGUACGAGAGGACCGGAGUGGACGCAUCACUGGUGUUCGGGUUGUCAUGCCAAUGGCACUGCCCGGUAGCUAAAUGCGGAAGAGAUAAGUGCUGAAAGCAUCUAAGCACGAAACUUGCCCCGAGAUGAGUUCUCCCUGACUCCUUGA
RNAcentral lists this ribosomal RNA (2443 nucleotides) under Escherichia coli. Its description in RNAcentral is "bacterial LSU rRNA". It matches the Rfam family "Bacterial large subunit ribosomal RNA", at positions 398 to 2826 of the family's 2925-position model. The record is from RNAcentral. Lineage: Bacteria; Pseudomonadati; Pseudomonadota; Gammaproteobacteria; Enterobacterales; Enterobacteriaceae.